Non-coding RNA from Ictidomys tridecemlineatus (thirteen-lined ground squirrel), 72 nucleotides. The record is from Rfam. Lineage: Eukaryota; Metazoa; Chordata; Mammalia; Rodentia; Sciuridae.
UGGGGUGUAGCUCAAUGGUAGAGUGCUUGCCUAACAUGCAUAAAGCCUUGGUUUCGAUUCCCAGCACCCCAA